GCAAGUCGAACGAGGUAUUUUGAUUGCAGUUUUCGGAUGGAUUUCAAGAUACCGAGUGGCGGACGGGUGAGUAAUGCGUGGGUAACCUGCCUCAUACAGGGGGAUAACGGUUAGAAAUGACUGCUAAUACCGCAUAAGCGCACAGUACCGCAUGGUACGGUGUGAAAAACGCCGGUGGUAUGAGAUGGACCCGCGUCUGAUUAGCUAGUUGGAGAGGUAACGGCCCACCAAGGCGACGAUCAGUAGCCGACCUGAGAGGGUGACC
RNAcentral lists this ribosomal RNA (265 nucleotides) under uncultured bacterium. RNAcentral describes it as "partial 16S ribosomal RNA". It matches the Rfam family "Bacterial small subunit ribosomal RNA", at positions 57 to 305 of the family's 1533-position model. The record is from RNAcentral.